RNAcentral lists this ribosomal RNA (1235 nucleotides) under metagenome. RNAcentral's name for it is "bacterial LSU rRNA". It matches the Rfam family "Bacterial large subunit ribosomal RNA", at positions 1564 to 2808 of the family's 2925-position model. The record is from RNAcentral.
UGUAUACGAGACGCUACGGCGUCGAAGCAGUCUAUGUCAUACUUCCAAGAAAAGCUUGCACUGUCAUAAACAAAUAAUGCCUGUACCAUAACCGACACAGGUGGGUAGGUAGAGUAUACUAAGGGGCGCGAGAUAACUCUCUCUAAGGAACUCGGCAAAAUGACUCCGUAACUUCGGGAGAAGGAGUGCCUUAUUUAUAAGGUUGCAAUAACAAGAUCCAAGCAACUGUUUAUCAAAAACACAGGUCUCCGCUAAGUCGCGAGACGAUGUAUGGGGGCUGACGCCUGCCCAGUGCCAGAAGGUUAAAGAAGUUGGUUAGCAUUAGCGAAGCUGAUAACUGAAGCCCUGGUGAACGGCGGCCGUAACAAUAACGGUCCUAAGGUAGCGAAAUUCCUUGUCGGGUAAGUUCCGACCCGCACGAAAGGCGUAAUGAUUUGGAUACUGUCUCGGAGAGGGACUCGGUGAAAUAGACUUGUCUGUGAAGAUGCGGACUACCUGCACCAGGACAGAAAGACCCUAUGAAGCUUUACUGUAACCUGAAAUUGAAAUUGGACUUUAUUUGCGCAGUAUAGGUGGGAGGCAUCGAUAAUAUUCUUGCGGGAAUGUUGGAGCCAUCAGUGAGAUACCACUCUUGUAAUGUUAGAUUUCUAACUUUGUAUCAUUAUCUGGUCAAAGAACAGUUUCAGGCGGGCAGUUUGACUGGGGCGGUCGCCUCCCAAAUGGUAACGGAGGCGCACAAAGGUUUCCUCUGAACGGGUAGAAAUCGUAUCUAGAGUGUAAAGGCAUAAGGGAGCUUGACUGUGAGACCUACAAGUCGAGCAGGGACGAAAGUCGGUCUUAGUGAUCUGACGGUGCUGAGUGGAAAGGCCGUCACUCAACGGAUAAAAGUUACUCUAAGGAUAACAGGCUGAUCUCCCCCAAGAGUUCACAUCGACGGGGAGGUUUGGCACCUCGAUGUCGGCUCAUCGCAUCCUGGGGCGGUAGUACGUCCCAAGGGUUGGGCUGUUCGCCCAUGAAAGCGGUACGCGAGCUGGGUUCAGAACGUCGUGAGACAGUUCGGUCCAUAUCCGGUGUAGGCGUUAGAAUAUUGAGAGGAGCCUUCUUUAGUACGAGAGGACCGAGAAGGACAUACCUCUGGUGUACCAGUUAUCGUGCCAACGGUAAACGCUGGGUAGCUAUGUAUGGAGAGGAUAACCGCUGAAAGCAUCUAAGUGGGAAGCCCACCUCAAGAUAAG